RNAcentral lists this ribosomal RNA (750 nucleotides) under Micromonospora chalcea. RNAcentral's name for it is "bacterial SSU rRNA". It matches the Rfam family "Bacterial small subunit ribosomal RNA", at positions 91 to 854 of the family's 1533-position model. Lineage: Bacteria; Bacillati; Actinomycetota; Actinomycetes; Micromonosporales; Micromonosporaceae. The record is from RNAcentral.
UCGAGCGGCGAACGGGUGAGUAACACGUGAGCAACCUGCCCCAGGCUUUGGGAUAACCCCGGGAAACCGGGGCUAAUACCGGAUAUGACCUUGCACCGCAUGGUGUUUGGUGGAAAGUUUUUCGGCUUGGGAUGGGCUCGCGGCCUAUCAGCUUGUUGGUGGGGUGAUGGCCUACCAAGGCGACGACGGGUAGCCGGCCUGAGAGGGCGACCGGCCACACUGGGACUGAGACACGGCCCAGACUCCUACGGGAGGCAGCAGUGGGGAAUAUUGCACAAUGGGCGGAAGCCUGAUGCAGCGACGCCGCGUGAGGGAUGACGGCCUUCGGGUUGUAAACCUCUUUCAGCAGGGACGAAGCGUAAGUGACGGUACCUGCAGAAGAAGCGCCGGCCAACUACGUGCCAGCAGCCGCGGUAAGACGUAGGGCGCGAGCGUUGUCCGGAUUUAUUGGGCGUAAAGAGCUCGUAGGCGGCUUGUCGCGUCGACCGUGAAAACCUGGGGCUCAACCCCAGGCCUGCGGUCGAUACGGGCAGGCUAGAGUUCGGUAGGGGAGACUGGAAUUCCUGGUGUAGCGGUGAAAUGCGCAGAUAUCAGGAGGAACACCGGUGGCGAAGGCGGGUCUCUGGGCCGAUACUGACGCUGAGGAGCGAAAGCGUGGGGAGCGAACAGGAUUAGAUACCCUGGUAGUCCACGCUGUAAACGUUGGGCGCUAGGUGUGGGGGGCCUCUCCGGUUCCCUGUGCCGCAGCUA